CUGGACUCUUGUGUCUUCAUGAGAUCCCAGCCCUAGAGCUGAAGCCAUACUUAGCUCUGCUUUUCUAAUGGGUUCUCCUAUGCUCAGUCUCAGGCUGUGCCUGAUACAUCCUUACACUUUGGAGAAGCAGCAAGAAAGUUGAUUCUCGCUAUUUGCUGUUGCUGAACACAGAGCAUGAAAAUCAACAUAGUAAGAUAGAAUAAACUUGGGCUUUGAUAUGAGAUCAACCUGGGCUCAAAUCACAGCUUUGCCGU
Molecule: long non-coding RNA, 254 nt
Filed under: Homo sapiens (human)
Lineage: Eukaryota; Metazoa; Chordata; Mammalia; Primates; Hominidae
Description: non-protein coding lnc-MAL2-1:1
Source: RNAcentral